UACAGAGGGUGCAAGCGUUAAUCGGAAUUACUGGGCGUAAAGCGUGCGCAGACGGUUGCGUAAGUCAGAUGUGAAAGCCCCGGGCUCAACCUGGAAUUACAUUUGAGACUGCGUAGCUAGGGUGCGGAAGAGGGAAGCGGAAUUUCCGGUGUAGCGGUGAAAUGCGUAGAUAUCGGAAGGAACACCAGUGGCGAAAGCGGCUUCCUGGUCCAGCACCGACGUUCAGGCACGAAAGCGUGGGGAGCAAACAGG
RNAcentral lists this ribosomal RNA (252 nucleotides) under uncultured bacterium. RNAcentral describes it as "partial 16S ribosomal RNA". It matches the Rfam family "Bacterial small subunit ribosomal RNA", at positions 524 to 776 of the family's 1533-position model. The record is from RNAcentral.